GGGCUACGCGAGCACACAGAGAGGGACAUUUCCUGAAUUCGGCGAUGGCGGCCAGACAGUUUAACGAGUAGGUGCGUACCCGUCCGCCUUUAAAUAAGUCACAUGGUCUAGCCGUUUCUGGGAAGGCCUUGCUUCAGCACCCCGGUUUGCUGCAUGCUCCUCUGUCCACACGUCGCGAGCGAGUUUGUUUUGACUGCCACGUCACGGAAAUCUAGGCCCGUCCCCGCAGCGGAUCUCGAGAGAGUCAUUCUUCCGGCUCGUCUCAGGGCUGCUGUGGGGUUUCGGGUCCUCCAGCAUCCCGUAAGACCCCGGUGAACCGCCCGCCCCCCUCGUCCUCCCGCCCCUCAGAGUCGCUCCCAUCCAUCAGGGCUAUUUCCAGAUGGGAGCGUCGGAAAAUAAAUAUUUAACAGCGGCUGGGGCUCGGUGCCACCCUGUUGCCGCUGCGUGCGCGGCUGCCGCCUACAUGCUGAGGUGCAGGAAACGGGCACUGUGCCAGUCCUAGUGAGUCUCGGGUCCCCGAAGCCUCUCUUUCUCGGUCUCUGUCUCUCGUCUCUGCUUCACGGCGUCACGGCUGAGGAUGAAUCAGCCCUGAGAAUUGGCACGGUGAUUUACGAGCGCUGUCAGGGAGCCUGCAUGAUUCAGAGCGAGGAGUGGGCUCUGUCCAGAUAGUCGCUCCCUUUCGAGCUCAUUCAUAAAAAGGAAGGGAAUUUAGCAGUGCCAUCCUGAUUCUCAGGCAGUCUGUGCGUGCGUGUGCACGUGAGUCUUCGCGUGUAACUGUGGGUGUGCGUGUCUGUUUGUGCAUGUGCACAUCCCUGUGCACUCCGUGUAUUUGUAUGUGUGCGCAUGAAGUUGUGUAUGCAUGCAUUUGUGCAUGGGGUUGCGUUUGCAUGUGUUUGUGCAUGAGUUUGAGCUUGCAUGUGUUGUGCAUGGGAUUGUGCUUGCAUGUGUUUCUGGGUGAGCUCGUGCUUGCAUGUGUUUGUGCAUGGGGUUGUGCUUGCAUGUGUUUCUGCGUGAGCUCGUGCUUGCAUGUGUUUGUGAGUGUGGCUGUGUUUGCAUGUGGUGCUUGCAUGUGCUUGUGCAUGAGUAAAUGCCUGCCUGCAUAUCAAUGAGUGCUUUUGUAAGUAAAGGUGUGACUGUCUAAGUUUCUAACAUAUGCAGACAUGUGCUGAUAUGUGUGUUGCACUGUUUGAGGACAGUCCCUAUAGGCCCCGCCUUUCCUCCUCUCUGUAGUUUUGGCUCUGACAUGAACCAGCACAAGACAGACUACUCUUGUGACUUUACGAUGUACCGUAAUGAUUUACUAUACAUUGGUAAAAUGUAUGUUUUUCUCAUAUAUUUCCUAGGACUUUACAUCUUUACCACUUUGUUCAAAGGAUCAGAUUGUAUUAUAUAAUUUCCCCCUCCCCCAGUAAAUCAAUUGGACUGUUUUAUUGUAAAUUGUAUAUUGUGCUGUACACCAACAAUAUUUCUUUCUUUAUUGAAGAUAAAUCAGCUCCUCUUUCCUGCAGCUGAAGAAACUGAAUAGAUAAUAUAUCACAUUAAAAAUACACUUUCCUCCUGGCAAUUCUGAAAUCUCCCUUCAGAAGCCAAGGGGACAUAGGGUAUGGGGGAAUGGGUUGGUGUACGAAGGCACUGUUGCUUAAUAGUUGGGCAUGGCCACCAUACAUGGGUUCUCUUGCUGAAAAAAAUAUGUGAUUUUUUUAGAUGGCAGGGAAGUGCAUCGUCCACUUGCGUAAAUUAUACUCAAGAUUAUUACAUUAUUGUGGGCAAGACUAAAACUGUGGAAACAGGAAACGGGAGAAGGGCUAAUCCACUUUUAGAGACUCCAUGCUGUGCUUUGGUUCAUUAAUACAGCAGUGAAUCUGUUUGCCUCUUUUAAACGGCACAGUUACUUGCUUAUGCACCUAAACAGCUUUCCUGCGUCUACAGGAGGAGCUCUUCAUUUGUCUGGUUCUGGUUUAUGAACAGUUAAAAGCUUGACAGCCUCUCCCAUGGGGUUGGGGGAACACCAGGCAGUGGAGACAGCUGUAUGUGUUAAAUGAAAUGUAUGUGCUAACCUUAGUGUGCGUUGAAGCUGAGCACUGUUCUGAGAUGUGUCACUUUAAAGGUGCUGGUUUUGCAAUUUCAAUACAAAUAAAAAUGAAAAAGGAA
RNA transcript from Anguilla anguilla (European eel), 2151 nucleotides. RefSeq lists it as uncharacterized. The record is from RefSeq and is a predicted model, not a curated record. The transcript is spliced from 3 exons. NCBI's taxonomy places the organism in Eukaryota, Metazoa, Chordata, Actinopteri, Anguilliformes, Anguillidae.